UGCAUCUUGCCGCCCCCUUGGGUCCCCUGA
RNAcentral lists this non-coding RNA (30 nucleotides) under Mus musculus (house mouse). The record is from RNAcentral. Lineage: Eukaryota; Metazoa; Chordata; Mammalia; Rodentia; Muridae.